CCUACGGGAGGCAGCAGUGGGGAAUAUUGGUCAAUGGGCGCAAGCCUGAACCAGCCAUGCCGCGUGCAGGAUGAAGGCCCUCUGGGUUGUAAACUGCUUUUAUCUGGGAAGAAACACCCCGUUUCUACGGGGCUUGACGGUACCAGAGGGAUAAGCACCGGCUAACUCCGUGCCAGCAGCCGCGGUAAU
RNAcentral lists this ribosomal RNA (189 nucleotides) under uncultured bacterium. RNAcentral describes it as "partial 16S ribosomal RNA". It matches the Rfam family "Bacterial small subunit ribosomal RNA", at positions 338 to 524 of the family's 1533-position model. The record is from RNAcentral.